GAGUUUGAUCCUGGCUCAGGAUGAACGCUAGCGACAGGCUUAACACAUGCAAGUCGAGGGGCAGCGGGGGAGCAGCAAUGCUCCUGCCGGCGACCGGCGCACGGGUGAGUAACACGUAUGGAACCUGCCCGCAGCAGGGGGAUAAGCGGAAGAAAUUCCGUCUAAUACCGCGUAACACCGCGGAGGGGCAUCCCUCGGCGGUUAAAGAUUCAUCGGCUGCGGAUGGCCAUGCGGCGCAUUAGCUAGUCGGCGGGGUAACGGCCCACCGAGGCGACGAUGCGUAGGGGUUCUGAGAGGAAGGUCCCCCACACUGGUACUGAGACACGGACCAGACUCCUACGGGAGGCAGCAGUGAGGAAUAUUGGUCAAUGGCCGGGAGGCUGAACCAGCCAAGUCGCGUGAGGGAAGACGGCCCUACGGGUUGUAAACCUCUUUUGUCAGGGAGCAAGAGGCGGGUCGGGACCUGCUGUGAGAGUACCUGAAGAAAAAGCAUCGGCUAACUCCGUGCCAGCAGCCGCGGUAAUACGGAGGAUGCGAGCGUUAUCCGGAUUUAUUGGGUUUAAAGGGUGCGCAGGCGGAGGCACAAGUCAGCGGUAAAAUCGCGGGGCUCAACCCCGCUCCGCCGUUGAAACUGUGUCCCUUGAGUGCGCGAAGGGUAGGCGGAAUGCGUGGUGUAGCGGUGAAAUGCAUAGAUAUCACGCAGAACUCCGAUCGCGAAGGCAGCCUACCGGCGCGCGACUGACGCUCAUGCACGAAAGCGUGGGUAUCGAACAGGAUUAGAUACCCUGGUAGUCCACGCAGUAAACGAUGAAUGCUAUCUGUCCGGCCGGAAUGACGGCUGGGUGGCACAGCGAAAGCGUUAAGCAUUCCACCUGGGGAGUACGCCGGCAACGGUGAAACUCAAAGGAAUUGACGG
Molecule: ribosomal RNA, 916 nt
Filed under: uncultured bacterium
Lineage: Bacteria
Description: bacterial SSU rRNA
Rfam family: Bacterial small subunit ribosomal RNA
Source: RNAcentral